UAUCCGUAGGUGAACCUGCGGAAGGACCAUUAUUGCAUAACAGGGGUGCGAGGGCUGUCGCUGACCCGACAGGUCGUGCACGCCCGAGAGUCCUCACACAUAUCCAAUUCACCCCUACGUGCUACAUCGCGUGGGCCGCCCUAUGGCUUGUUCGGAGAGGGGCGUACGUUUUCACACAAACUUUGUAUGCCGUGUAGGAUGUAUUUUUUGUUUUUGCGAUUAUGCAAUCAAAACAACUUUCAACAACUGAUCUCUUGGUUCUUGCAUGGAUGAAGAACG
RNAcentral lists this unclassified non-coding RNA (279 nucleotides) under plant metagenome. RNAcentral's name for it is "partial contains small subunit ribosomal RNA, internal transcribed spacer 1, and 5.8S ribosomal RNA". The record is from RNAcentral.